RNAcentral lists this ribosomal RNA (168 nucleotides) under uncultured bacterium. Its description in RNAcentral is "partial 16S ribosomal RNA". It matches the Rfam family "Bacterial small subunit ribosomal RNA", at positions 338 to 523 of the family's 1533-position model. The record is from RNAcentral.
CCUACGGGAGGCAGCAGUGGGGAAUAUUGGACAAUGGGCGCAAGCCUGAUCCAGCCAUGCCGCGUGAGUGAUGAAGGCCCUAGGGUUGUAAAGCUCUUUCACCGGUGAAGAUAAUGACGGUAACCGGAGAAGAAGCCCCGGCUAACUUCGUGCCAGCAGCCGCGGUAA